RNAcentral lists this ribosomal RNA (504 nucleotides) under uncultured bacterium. RNAcentral describes it as "partial 16S ribosomal RNA". It matches the Rfam family "Bacterial small subunit ribosomal RNA", at positions 29 to 523 of the family's 1533-position model. The record is from RNAcentral.
AUUGAACGCUGGCGGCAGGCCUAACACAUGCAAGUCGAACGGUAGCACAGAGAGCUUGCUCUCGGGUGACGAGUGGCGGACGGGUGAGUAAUGUCUGGGAAACUGCCCGAUGGAGGGGGAUAACUACUGGAAACGGUAGCUAAUACCGCAUAACGUCGCAAGACCAAAGUGGGGGACCUUCGGGCCUCACACCAUCGGAUGUGCCCAGAUGGGAUUAGCUAGUAGGUGGGGUAAUGGCUCACCUAGGCGACGAUCCCUAGCUGGUCUGAGAGGAUGACCGGCCACACGGGAACUGAGACACGGUCCAGACUCCUACGGGAGGCAGCAGUGGGGAAUAUUGCACAAUGGGCGCAAGCCUGAUGCAGCCAUGCCGGGUGUAUGAAGAAGGCCUUCGGGUUGUAAAGUACUUUCAGCGGGGAGGAAGGCGGUGAAGCUAAUAGCUUCACCGAUUGACGUUACCCGCAGAAGAAGCACCGGCUAACUCCGUGCCAGCUGCCGCCGUAA